Sphingopyxis alaskensis RB2256 is the source of this 112-nucleotide regulatory RNA element. It matches the Rfam family "TPP riboswitch aptamer (THI element)". From Rfam's summary of the family: Vitamin B(1) in its active form thiamin pyrophosphate (TPP) is an essential coenzyme that is synthesised by coupling of pyrimidine and thiazole moieties in bacteria. The previously detected thiamin-regulatory element, thi box was extended, resulting in a new, highly conserved RNA secondary structure, the THI element, which is widely distributed in eubacteria and also occurs in some archaea. The record is from Rfam. Lineage: Bacteria; Pseudomonadati; Pseudomonadota; Alphaproteobacteria; Sphingomonadales; Sphingopyxidaceae.
CCUCCAUCCCCGGGGAGCCUGUCGCGCAAAAGCAGGUUGAGAGCGGAAUAAACCGCGACCCGUUGAACCUGAUCCGGGUAAUACCGGCGGAGGGAGGGUUGGCUUUCACCCC